UUGGGUUUAAAGGGUGCGUAGGCGGGACAAUAAGUCAGUGGUGAAAGCCUGCAGCUUAACUGUAGAAUUGCCAUUGAAACUGUUGUUCUUGAGUCCGGUUGAGGUUGAUGGAAUAUAUCAUGUAGCGGUGAAAUGCUUAGAUAUGAUAUAGAACACCAAUUGCGAAGGCAGUCAACUAAACCGGUACUGACGCUGAGGCACGAAAGCGUGGGGAGCGAACAGGAUUAGAUACCCUGGUAGUCCACGCUGUAAACGAUGUUCACUCGCUGUUGGCGAUACACUGUCAGCGGCCAAGCGAAAGCAUUAAGUGAACCACCUGGGGAGUACGAUCGCAAGGUUGAAACUCAAAGGAAUUGACGGGGGCCCGCACAAGCGGUGGAGCAUGUGGAUUAAUUCGAUGAUACGCGAGGAACCUUACCAGGGCUUAAAUGGCAUUUGCCUUUUGCCGAAAGGUGAUUUUUCUUCGGAACGAAUGUCAAGGUGCUGCAUGGCU
RNAcentral lists this ribosomal RNA (493 nucleotides) under uncultured Bacteroidota bacterium. RNAcentral describes it as "bacterial SSU rRNA". It matches the Rfam family "Bacterial small subunit ribosomal RNA", at positions 554 to 1050 of the family's 1533-position model. The record is from RNAcentral. Lineage: Bacteria; Pseudomonadati; Bacteroidota.